Cyprinus carpio (common carp) is the source of this 231-nucleotide long non-coding RNA. RefSeq lists it as uncharacterized. The transcript is spliced from 3 exons. NCBI's taxonomy places the organism in Eukaryota, Metazoa, Chordata, Actinopteri, Cypriniformes, Cyprinidae. The record is from RefSeq and is a predicted model, not a curated record.
UAGAACAAGGACCAAUGAAUGGAAACACCACCAUUCAGCUAAAUGAGGGAACUGAUGGAGACAUCAGCUGCAGCGUGAAGAACCACGUCAGUCACACACAGAAGAACAUUAGACUCAAACACUGUCCUGGACCAACUACUGCAGCUGUGACCUCUAGUUUGACCUCUCCAGUGACACAGACAUCAGAAUGUGUGUGUUCAGUUUCUGUGGUGUUUGUUCUGGUCUGGUGUC